This 113-nucleotide ribosomal RNA is filed under the name Serratia liquefaciens. The record is from RNAcentral. Lineage: Bacteria; Pseudomonadati; Pseudomonadota; Gammaproteobacteria; Enterobacterales; Yersiniaceae. RNAcentral also lists the same sequence under 6 other names.
CUUGGCGGCAAUAGCGCGGUGGUCCCACCUGACCCCAUGCCGAACUCAGAAGUGAAACGCCGUAGCGCCGAUGGUAGUGUGGGGUCUCCCCAUGCGAGAGUAGGACACUGCCA